UUUUAUGGAGAGUUUGAUCCUGGCUCAGGAUGAACGCUGGCGGCGUGCCUAAUACAUGCAAGUCGAGCGAACGGACGAGAAGCUUGCUUCUCUGAUGUUAGCGGCGGACGGGUGAGUAACACGUGGAUAACCUACCUAUAAGACUGGGAUAACUUCGGGAAACCGGAGCUAAUACCGGAUAAUAUUUUGAACCGCAUGGUUCAAAAGUAAAAGACGGUCUUGCUGUCACUUAUAGAUGGAUCCGCGCUGCAUUAGCUAGUUGGUAAGGUAACGGCUUACCAAGGCAACGAUGCAUAGCCGACCUGAGAGGGUGAUCGGCCACACUGGAACUGAGACACGGUCCAGACUCCUACGGGAGGCAGCAGUAGGGAAUCUUCCGCAAUGGGCGAAAGCCUGACGGAGCAACGCCGCGUGAGUGAUGAAGGUCUUCGGAUCGUAAAACUCUGUUAUUAGGGAAGAACAUAUGUGUAAGUAACUGUGC
RNAcentral lists this ribosomal RNA (481 nucleotides) under Staphylococcus aureus. RNAcentral's name for it is "bacterial SSU rRNA". It matches the Rfam family "Bacterial small subunit ribosomal RNA", at positions 1 to 478 of the family's 1533-position model. Lineage: Bacteria; Bacillati; Bacillota; Bacilli; Caryophanales; Staphylococcaceae. The record is from RNAcentral.